RNAcentral lists this small RNA (539 nucleotides) under Pan troglodytes (chimpanzee). Its description in RNAcentral is "retained intron". Lineage: Eukaryota; Metazoa; Chordata; Mammalia; Primates; Hominidae. The record is from RNAcentral.
UUUCUCAUUUCAAAGAUUCUCAAUAUAUUAAGGCAAAAAUAGAACUCUCAUAUGUCUUCUUCUCUUUCUAGAGUUAGGAAGUAACAUGGUAGUACCUCAGGCAAAAAUGGCAUUAGUCCUAAGCUCCCCACUGUGGAAACCUGUCUUCAGGCAUCAGGUUUGUCCAGAGUUGGAAUUAGAAGCAAGCUGGCCCACUCACCCACACCGGAAUAGUAAGGAGGUUAAGAACAUUCCUGACGACCCCUGCCGCCAUUUUCUUCUUGAUUUUGCCCAGUCAGAGCCUGCUCAGAACUUCUGUGGGCCAUAUUCAGAACUUUUCAAAGGAUUCAUACAGUCAACAGUGGAGGCAAAAUAGCCCUGAGUGAAGAGUUUGCCCAGGUUUAUUCCUUGGCAGAUGGGAUUCGAAUAUGGAUGUUAGAGAUGAAGCAGAAGUCCCUGAUGAGCCUGGGGAAUGAAGCAGAAGAAAAACAUAGUUCAGAAGCUACUGAGGUGAACCCUGAGAGCCUGGCAAAAGAGUGUAUUGAGAAGAGUCUUCUAUU